CUCGUAGGUGGCCAACUAAGUCAGACGUGAAAUCCCUCGGCUUAACCGGGGAACUGCGUCUGAUACUGGUUGGCUUGAGUUUGGGAGAGGGACGCGGAAUUCCAGGUGUAGCGGUGAAAUGCGUAGAUAUCUGGAGGAACACCGGUGGCGAAGGCGGCGUCCUGGACCAACACUGACACUGAUGAGCGAAAGCCAGGGGAGCAAACG
Molecule: ribosomal RNA, 207 nt
Filed under: uncultured bacterium
Lineage: Bacteria
Description: partial 16S ribosomal RNA
Rfam family: Bacterial small subunit ribosomal RNA
Source: RNAcentral